RNAcentral lists this non-coding RNA (30 nucleotides) under Rattus norvegicus (Norway rat). The record is from RNAcentral. Lineage: Eukaryota; Metazoa; Chordata; Mammalia; Rodentia; Muridae.
GGAAAUGAGUUUGAGAUGAUUCAGUGUCCC